GAGGAAAUGGGGGGGUUGUGGGUCAUGGGGGGAGUUGGGAGUCACGAGUGGGGGUCAGGGGGUGAUGGGUGGGGGUCAGGGGGUCACGCCCUUCGCCCCCCCCUCCCCCCCUCAGAUGUCCCUGACGGCCGUGUCCCUGAGCGCCAUCGCCACCAACGGCCUGGACCCCGGUGAGUGAUGGGGGGGAGGGGCAGCACCCCCCCGCACCCCUCCCCCCACCCCCUGACGCUGACGUCAUCAUCCCGCCGCAGGGGGCGGGGCCUUGGGGCUGCUGUCGGGGGGGCUGGGCCCUGCCGCGGGGGGGGCCGUGGGGCUCCUGGCCUUCCUCAGCGCCGCCUUCGCCGCCGCCGCCGCCGCCCUGGGCAGCGCCGAGAUCCUGCUGGUGUACCUGGCCCCGGGGGCGGCCUUCCUGCCGGGGGGGGGUCGCUGGGGUCGCCUGAACAACGGGCGGGGUUAUGGGGCGGGGCUCCUGGGGCUCCUGGGCUUGGGGGCCGCCGCCCCUCCCCCCGUGCCCCGCCUCCUGGCCCCACUGGGCCCCACCGGCCUCCUCCUGGCCCUCCUGGGGCUGGGGGCGGGGGCCCUGCGCCCCUCCCCCCCCACGUGAGUCACCCCCCCUCCUUCCCCUCCUCCUCCCCCCCCGCCCGGUAUGCAAAUGAGAUGCUAAUAAGGCUCCACCCCCUAAAGGCUCUGCCUUCCCGCCCAACCCGGAGGCCGCCUGCAGCCCUGCCCCACGGCUCCGCCCCACGGCUCCGGGGGGGGCAAUGGCAGCCGGGGGGGGGCACGGCCGGCCCUGCCCGGGGUCAGCGCCCGCCUCCUGGCGCGGAACCUGUGGCCCCACCCCCCGGGGGCGGGGCUGGGCGGGGCCGAUGACGUCAUCGAUGACGACGCCUCCUUCGGGGUCCUGCUGGGGCUGAGCCUCCCCACGGCCUCCGGUGAGUCCGCAGCCGUGGGGCGCGCUAUGGGGCAGGGGAUGCUGUGGGGCGAUUCUACGGGGCAGGGCUGCUGUGGGGGGUGUCCCAUAGGGCGAUGUGUGGGGCAGGGGAUGCUCUGGGGCAGGGGCUGUUCUGGGGGAUGCCCCAUGGGGCAUGCUAUGGGGCAGGGGCUGCUCUGGGGGCGAUUCUAUGGGGCAGGGCUGCUGUGGGG
This 1143-nucleotide long non-coding RNA is filed under the name Calidris pygmaea (Spoon-billed sandpiper). Its description in RNAcentral is "lncRNA (ENSCPGG00000014294.1)". The record is from RNAcentral. Lineage: Eukaryota; Metazoa; Chordata; Aves; Charadriiformes; Scolopacidae.